Molecule: ribosomal RNA, 465 nt
Filed under: Vreelandella stevensii
Lineage: Bacteria; Pseudomonadati; Pseudomonadota; Gammaproteobacteria; Oceanospirillales; Halomonadaceae
Description: partial 16S ribosomal RNA
Rfam family: Bacterial small subunit ribosomal RNA
Source: RNAcentral
CCUACGGGAGGCAGCAGUGGGGAAUAUUGGACAAUGGGGGCAACCCUGAUCCAGCCAUGCCGCGUGUGUGAAGAAGGCCCUCGGGUUGUAAAGCACUUUCAGUGAGGAAGAACGCCUGGUGGUUAAUACCCAUCAGGAAAGACAUCACUCACAGAAGAAGCACCGGCUAACUCCGUGCCAGCAGCCGCGGUAAUACGGAGGGUGCGAGCGUUAAUCGGAAUUACUGGGCGUAAAGCGCGCGUAGGUGGCUUGAUAAGCCGGUUGUGAAAGCCCCGGGCUCAACCUGGGAACGGCAUCCGGAACUGUCAAGCUAGAGUGCAGGAGAGGAAGGUAGAAUUCCCGGUGUAGCGGUGAAAUGCGUAGAGAUCGGGAGGAAUACCAGUGGCGAAGGCGGCCUUCUGGACUGACACUGACACUGAGGUGCGAAAGCGUGGGGAGCAAACAGGAUUAGAUACCCCUGUAGUC